Molecule: long non-coding RNA, 483 nt
Filed under: Eutrema salsugineum
Lineage: Eukaryota; Viridiplantae; Streptophyta; Magnoliopsida; Brassicales; Brassicaceae
Description: long non-coding RNA (ESAL_LNC000011)
Source: RNAcentral
GUAAUUUUCUCUCUCACUGCUUAUAAUAGGCCUCUGUUCUAUACUGUUCAGCUCGUGUAAAGGGUAAAAGAUCUACACUUGAAUCGUGGCUGAUAAUGGGAGUGAAAAAUUUGCUGUGAACGGGUUCUAUAUCUGGAUCCUGCUCGUUGUUACGACUUACGCGUCUCGUGUUUUCGCGCUCGUUGUCCGGGGAUCCAUAUACCUAGAACGGUUAUUUUUCAGAAAAAAAAUACAUAUAUGUAUGUAGAUACUAUUAUAUAGCAAAUUAGCAAUACAUAAAAUGCAGUGUACUCAUUUUUCUAUAUAUUACUAGUAUAUAUCCGAUGAAAUGGUAAAAAAACUGUACCUAGUAUCAAUAGUACGAGAAUUUACUCAUCAUUUCUUUACAAAGAUUUAAUAUGGCAAAAUAAGGAGCCUUCGGUUUGGGAUUUUUGUUUUGAUUUUUCUUUCUUUUUUUCGUAUAAUAAUAAGAAGGGGUAUACA